UGGGGAAUAUUGCACAAUGGGGGAAACCCUGAUGCAGCGACGCCGCGUGGAGGAAGAAGGUCUUCGGAUUGUAAACUCCUGUUGUCGAGGAAGAUAAUGACGGUACUCAACAAGGAAGUGACGGCUAACUACGUGCCAGCAGCCGCGGUAAAACGUAGGUCACAAGCGUUGUCCGGAAUUACUGGGUGUAAAGGGAGCGCAGGCGGGAGAACAAGUUGGAAGUGAAAUCCAUGGGCUCAACCCAUGAACUGCUUUCAAAACUGUUUUCUUGAGUAGUGCAGAGGUAGGCGGAAUUCCCGGUGUAGCGGUGGAAUGCGUAGAUAUCGGGAGGAACACCAGUGGCGAAGGCGGCCUACUGGGCACCAACUGACGCUGAGGCUCGAAAGUGUGGGUAGCAAACAGGA
This 404-nucleotide ribosomal RNA is filed under the name uncultured bacterium. RNAcentral describes it as "bacterial SSU rRNA". It matches the Rfam family "Bacterial small subunit ribosomal RNA", at positions 355 to 777 of the family's 1533-position model. The record is from RNAcentral.